Long non-coding RNA from Apis dorsata (giant honeybee), 390 nucleotides. RefSeq lists it as uncharacterized. Lineage: Eukaryota; Metazoa; Arthropoda; Insecta; Hymenoptera; Apidae. The transcript is spliced from 3 exons. The record is from RefSeq and is a predicted model, not a curated record.
UUUAUUUCCAGAAAUCGAAGGCUUAGAGUUUCGUACGCGUCCUCUUUGUAUUAGUUAAGUCUAUUACGCGAUUCGGUGAACGUGGGAAUCGUCCAAAGGUGCGAUCGAAUUCUUGGCCGAGCUCUGGGGUCGGGUUAUCAGCUACUGUCACGAGCACGUCGCCAAACGAUCGUCGAGGGAAUGUGGAAAAUGUAACGCUAGCUAAAUUAGUUAACGGGCCCAAUUGCGAUGGUCGCUUGGGAAAUGAAAGGGGUGGAAGUCGGCCAAUUAUGAGAAAUGAGUACGUGUUAUCGAAGGUAAUGUGAGGAUACGGAAGAAUAACAUUUUUAUUUCAACGCUUUGAACGUUAAAUUAGAAAAAUAACGAGUCAAUUGGUCAUAAUGAUUAUAU